This 460-nucleotide ribosomal RNA is filed under the name uncultured bacterium. Its description in RNAcentral is "partial 16S ribosomal RNA". It matches the Rfam family "Bacterial small subunit ribosomal RNA", at positions 338 to 795 of the family's 1533-position model. The record is from RNAcentral.
CCUACGGGUGGCUGCAGUGAGGAAUAUUGGUCAAUGGACGCAAGUCUGAACCAGCCAUGCCGCGUGCAGGAAGACGGCUCUAUGAGUUGUAAACUGCUUUUGUACGAGGGUAAACGCAGAUACGUGUAUCUGUCUGAAAGUAUCUUACGAAUAAGGAUCGGCUAACUCCGUGCCAGCAGCCGCGGUAAUACGGAGGAUUCAAGCGUUAUCCGGAUUUAUUGGGUUUAAAGGGUGCGUAGGCGGUCGGAUAAGUUAGGGGUGAAAUCCCGAGGCUCAACUUCGGAAUUGCCUGUGAUACUGGUAGGCUAGAGAGUAGUUGCGGUAGGCGGAAUGUAUGGUGUAGCGGUGAAAUGCUUAGAGAUCAUACAGAACACCGAUUGCGAAGGCAGCUAACCAAGAUAAUUCUGACGUUGAGGCACGAAAGCGUGGGGAGCAAACAGGAUUAGAUACCCGUGUAGUC